Molecule: ribosomal RNA, 253 nt
Filed under: uncultured bacterium
Lineage: Bacteria
Description: partial 16S ribosomal RNA
Rfam family: Bacterial small subunit ribosomal RNA
Source: RNAcentral
UACGAAGGGGGCUAGCGUUGUUCGGAAUUACUGGGCGUAAAGCGCACGUAGGCGGAUCGUUAAGUGAGGGGUGAAAUCCCAGGGCUCAACCCUGGAACUGCCUCUCAUACUGGCGAUCUCGAGUUCGAGAGAGGUGAGUGGAAUUGCGAGUGUAGAGGUGAAAUUCGUAGAUAUUCGCAGGAACACCAGUGGCGAAGGCGGCUCACUGGCUCGAUACUGACGCUGAGGUGCGAAAGCGUGGGGAGCAAACAGG